RNAcentral lists this ribosomal RNA (497 nucleotides) under uncultured bacterium. Its description in RNAcentral is "partial 16S ribosomal RNA". It matches the Rfam family "Bacterial small subunit ribosomal RNA", at positions 28 to 507 of the family's 1533-position model. The record is from RNAcentral.
GAUGAACGCUGGCGGCGUGCCUAAUACAUGCAAGUCGAGCGAACGGACGAGAAGCUUGCUUCUCUGAUGUUAGCGGCGGACGGGUGAGUAACACGUGGAUAACCUACUUAUAAGACUGGGAUAACUUCGGGAAACCGGAGCUAAUACCGGAUGAUAUUUUGAACCGCAUGGUUCAAAAGUGAAAGACGGUCUUGCUGUCACUUAUAGAUGGAUCCGCGCUGCAUUAGCUAGUUGGUAAGGUAACGGCUUACCAAGGCAACGAUGCAUAGCCGACCUGAGAGGGUGAUCGGCCACACUGGAACUGAGACACGGUCCAGACUCCUACGGGAGGCAGCAGUAGGGAAUCUUCCGCAAUGGGCGAAAGCCUGACGGAGCAACGCCGCGUGAGUGAUGAAGGCCUUCGGAUCGUAAAACUCUGUUAUUAGGGAAGAACAUAUGUGUAAGUAACUGUGCACAUCUUGACGGUACCUAAUCAGAAAGCAACGGCUAACUACGUG